GAUGAACGCUGGCGGCGUGCCUAAUACAUGCAAGUCGAGCGAACAGACGAGGAGCUUGCUCCUCUGACGUUAGCGGCGGACGGGUGAGUAACACGUGGAUAACCUACCUAUAAGACUGGUAUAACUUCGGGAAACCGGAGCUAAUACCGGAUAAUAUAUUGAACCGCAUGGUUCAAUAGUGAAAGACGGUUUUGCUGUCACUUAUAGAUGGUUCCGCGCUGCAUUAGCUAGUUGGUAAGGUAACGGCUUACCAAGGCAACGAUGCGUAGCCGACCUGAGAGGGUGAUCGGCCACACUGGAACUGAGACACGGUCCAGACUCCUACGGGAGGCAGCAGUAGGGAAUCUUCCGCAAUGGGCGAAAGCAUGACGGAGCAACGCCGCGUGAGUGAUGAAGGUCUUCGGAUCGUAAAACUCUGUUAUUAGGGAAGAACAAAUGUGUAAGUAACUGUGCACGUCUUGACGGUACCUAAUCAGAAAGCCACGGCUAACUACGUG
This 497-nucleotide ribosomal RNA is filed under the name uncultured bacterium. RNAcentral describes it as "partial 16S ribosomal RNA". It matches the Rfam family "Bacterial small subunit ribosomal RNA", at positions 28 to 507 of the family's 1533-position model. The record is from RNAcentral.